GACGAACGCUGGCGGCGUGCUUAACACAUGCAAGUCGAACGGAAAGGCCCCUUUGGGGGUACUCGAGUGGCGAACGGGUGAGUAACACGUGAGUAACCUGCCCUUGACUUCGGGAUAACUUCAGGAAACUGGGGCUAAUACCGGAUAGGAAUCCUUGCUGCAUGGUGGGGGUUGGAAAGCUUCGGCGGUUUUGGAUGGACUCGCGGCUUAUCAGCUUGUUGGUGGGGUAGUGGCUUACCAAGGCUUUGACGGGUAGCCGGCCUGAGAGGGCGACCGGCCACAUUGGGACUGAGAUACGGCCCAGACUCCUACGGGAGGCAGCAGUGGGGAAUAUUGCACAAUGGGCGGAAGCCUGAUGCAGCAACGCCGCGGGCGGGAUGACGGACUUCGGGUUGUAAACCGCUUUCAGCAGGGGCGAAGCUUGUGGUGACGGUACCUGCAGAAGAAGCACCGGCUAACUACGUG
This 465-nucleotide ribosomal RNA is filed under the name uncultured bacterium. Its description in RNAcentral is "partial 16S ribosomal RNA". It matches the Rfam family "Bacterial small subunit ribosomal RNA", at positions 28 to 507 of the family's 1533-position model. The record is from RNAcentral.